Molecule: ribosomal RNA, 398 nt
Filed under: uncultured bacterium
Lineage: Bacteria
Description: partial 16S ribosomal RNA
Rfam family: Bacterial small subunit ribosomal RNA
Source: RNAcentral
GAAUUUUGCUCAAUGGGCGAAAGCCUGAAGCAGCAACGCCGCGUGAGGGCUGAAGGCCUUCGGGUUGUAAACCUCUUUUCUCAGGGACGAUGAUGACGGUACCUGUGGAUUAAGCCACGGCUAACUACGUUCCAGCAGCCGCGGUAAUACGUAGGUGGCGAGCGUUGUUCGGACUCACUGGGCGUAAAGGGUGUGUAGGCGGCUCGUCGUGUUCGGUGUGAAAUCCCACGGCUCACCCGUGGAACUGCGUCGAAAACUGACGGGCUUGAGGCGAGGAGAGGAGAGCGGAAUUCCUGGUGUAGCGGUGAAAUGCGUAGAUAUCAGGAGGAACGCCGGUGGCGAAAGCGGCUUUCUGGCCUUGUCCUGACGCUGAGGCACGAAAGCCAGGGGAUCAAACG